Molecule: long non-coding RNA, 824 nt
Organism: Cercocebus atys (sooty mangabey)
Lineage: Eukaryota; Metazoa; Chordata; Mammalia; Primates; Cercopithecidae
Exons: 3
Source: RefSeq, a predicted model, not a curated record
CAUGCAACUUAAUAAAGUAAAUGGCCAUGUUUGAGAAUCCCAUGUGACAGAGAACUGCAGGGAACCCCUAGGAAUAGCAAAAAGUCAGUGUCUUAGAAACGGAACUUUAAGGAAAUGAAUUCUACCAACAAUUUGAAGGAGCUUGGAAACUCUCUCCCCAGUGUAGCUUGCAAUGGGAAUACAGCUUCACUAACACCUUGGUUGCAGACUUGUGAGACCUUAAACAGAGGACCAGGAUAUGGUGUGUCUGAACUUGAGGCUGCAGAAAUUAUCCUGACGGGAACAGAAGACAAGGAAUGUGGGCACCCUCUAGAAGCUGCAGAAGCCAGAGAAACAGACUCUCCCCUGGAAUGUUCAGAAAGUGUACAAUCCUGCCAAGACCUCAGUCAUAGCCCAGUGAAACCCAUUUUGAAAUUCUGACCACCAGAACUUUUUGCCUUGUGCCUGAGACACACCCAGACCUUUAGCCUCCAGCCUGCAGAAAUUGGCAGAUUUCUUCUGUGAAAAGCCAGGAGCAAAUUUUCAGCUCAAUUCUGCAAGUUUCAAUCUUCAAUGGAAUUUUAAUCUAUCAUCUUCUAUUUUUAUAUAACUUUCUGGUGUCUUCAAAAAUGUGACUUUUAUGAUUAUUUUGUUUUUCUACCUAUUUUCAGUGAGAACACUGGGUUACCAUAAAGUACUCAGUCAUACCUAGAAGUGAAAUAUUUAUUUUAAAAAUAUAUACAUGCAUAUUUUCCUGAUUAAUGACAAUGUUGACUACAUGUUGAAAGAUCAUUUGGUUAUCUUCUUCAGUGAAAUGCUUCUUAAAGUCUUUUCUACUGUGCUGC